Molecule: ribosomal RNA, 465 nt
Filed under: Vreelandella stevensii
Lineage: Bacteria; Pseudomonadati; Pseudomonadota; Gammaproteobacteria; Oceanospirillales; Halomonadaceae
Description: partial 16S ribosomal RNA
Rfam family: Bacterial small subunit ribosomal RNA
Source: RNAcentral
CCUACGGGGGGCUGCAGUGGGGAAUAUUGGACAAUGGGGGCAACCCUGAUCCAGCCAUGCCGCGUGUGUGAAGAAGGCCCUCGGGUUGUAAAGCACUUUCAGUGAGGAAGAACGCCUGGUGGUUAAUACCCAUCAGGAAAGACAUCACUCACAGAAGAAGCACCGGCUAACUCCGUGCCAGCAGCCGCGGUAAUACGGAGGGUGCGAGCGUUAAUCAGAAUUACUGGGCGUAAAGCGCGCGUAGGUGGCUUGAUAAGCCGGUUGUGAAAGCCCCGGGCUCAACCUGGGAACGGCAUCCGGAACUGUCAAGCUAGAGUGCAGGAGAGGAAGGUAGAAUUCCCGGUGUAGCGGUGAAAUGCGUAGAGAUCGGGAGGAAUACCAGUGGCGAAGGCGGCCUUCUGGACUGACACUGACACUGAGGUGCGAAAGCGUGGGUAGCAAACAGGAUUAGAUACCCUGGUAGUC